ACGGGAGGCAGCAGUAGGGAAUCUUCGGCAAUGGGGGCAACCCUGACCGAGCAACGCCGCGUGAGUGAAGAAGGUUUUCGGAUCGUAAAGCUCUGUUGUAAGUCAAGAACGGGUGUGAGAGUGGAAAGUUCACACUGUGACGGUAGCUUACCAGAAAGGGACGGCUAACUACGUGCCAGCAGCCGCGGUAAUACGUAGGUCCCGAGCGUUGUCCGGAUUUAUUGGGCGUAAAGCGAGCGCAGGCGGUUUGAUAAGUCUGAAGUUAAAGGCUGUGGCUCAACCAUAGUUCGCUUUGGAACUGUCAAACUUGAGUGCAGAA
Molecule: ribosomal RNA, 319 nt
Filed under: Streptococcus sp. D08_60
Lineage: Bacteria; Bacillati; Bacillota; Bacilli; Lactobacillales; Streptococcaceae
Description: bacterial SSU rRNA
Rfam family: Bacterial small subunit ribosomal RNA
Source: RNAcentral